GUCCAGACUCCUACGGGAGGCAGCAGUGGGGAAUAUUGCACAAUGGGGGAAACCCUGAUGCAGCAACGCCGCGUGAGUGAAGAAGUAUUUCGGUAUGUAAAGCUCUAUCAGCAGGGAAGAAAAUGACGGUACCUGAGUAAGAAGCCCCGGCUAACUACGUGCCAGCAGCCGCGGUAAUACGUAGGGGGCAAGCGUUAUCCGGAUUUACUGGGUGUAAAGGGAGCGUAGACGGCGAUACAAGUCUGAAGUGAAAGCCCGGGGCUCAACCCCGGGACUGCUUUGGAAACUGUGUUGCUGGAGUGCUGGAGAGGCAAGCGGAAUUCCUAGUGUAGCGGUGAAAUGCGUAGAUAUUAGGAAGAACACCAGUGGCGAAGGCGGCCAACUGGGCUUUAACUGACGCUGAGGCUCGAAAGUGUGGGGAGCAAACAGGAUUAGAUACCCUCGUAA
This 447-nucleotide ribosomal RNA is filed under the name uncultured bacterium. Its description in RNAcentral is "bacterial SSU rRNA". It matches the Rfam family "Bacterial small subunit ribosomal RNA", at positions 329 to 793 of the family's 1533-position model. The record is from RNAcentral.